Molecule: long non-coding RNA, 1374 nt
Organism: Haliotis rubra (blacklip abalone)
Lineage: Eukaryota; Metazoa; Mollusca; Gastropoda; Lepetellida; Haliotidae
Exons: 2
Source: RefSeq, a predicted model, not a curated record
GUAGCCCACUGACACAGUGCAUCGCUUGUCAUACAAGAGAAACUGUACCAGCGUGUGGGAUAGUAGCCCACUGACACAGUGCAUCGCUUGUCAUACAAGAGAAACUGUACCAGCGUGUGGGAUAGUAGCCCACUGACACAGUGCAUCGCUUGUCAUACAAGAGAAACUGUACCAGCGUGUGGGAUAGUAGCCCACUGACACAGUGCAUCGCUUGUCAUACAAGAGAAACUGUACCAGCGUCUGGGAUAGUAGCCCACUGACACAGUGCAUUGCUUGUCAAGUGUGACAUCCUGAUAAGCUGAGGUGUUGGUUCUGCCCAGAGAACGACCUUCAAGCUUCAAGCUGCAUCCUUGUGUGUGUCCCGAGGGAUGUAAUUUGGUAUUUUUCAGUUUUUCUAAAGGGCAUGAAAUAUUACUCCUCAAGGAUCAGAUGUUCUGUACAUCAGCGAUACGUGAUGGGAUGUAGUUACACAAGAGCAUCAGAUAUUGAUGAUGGAGUUGAAAGGAGGCUCUUCUUGAGUUAGCCACAGUGUGGUUUGUAAAAACAAGUAAAUAAAUAUGAAAGUUUGUUAAUCACACAGUCAUUAGAUCAUUGAACCGUACCAGUCAUCAUGACAAAGGAUGACAUCCUCUUUGUUGUGACACUUCAUUGGUUUACAUGUUUUACUCAGGCUGCAUUUACCAUUCAGUUGAUAUGAAGAAAGAAAUGAAUUGAUCAGUGAGAGCUGACUUAAUAUAACUUCCCUGGUAUCAGUGUCGUAAGUAUAGUGUAUACUGUCACUCCCACUACACACAUGGGCAACACAGGCUCCAUCAGUAAAGGUUGACUCACCAACUCAGCGUUUGUUGUCAUUAGUGUAUACUGUCACUCCCACUACACACAUGGGCAACACAGAGGCUCCAUCAGUAAAGGUUGACUCACCAACUCAGCGUUUGUUGUCAUUAGUGUAUACUGUCACUCCCACUACACACAUGUGCAACACAGAGGCUCCAUCAGUAAAGGUUGACUCACCAACUCAGCGUUUGUUGUCAUUAGUGUAUACUGUCACUCCCACUACACACAUGUGCAACACAGAGGCUCCAUCAGUAAAGGUUGACUCACCAACUCAGCGUUUGUUGUCAUUAGUGUAUACUGUCACUCCCACUACACACAUGGGCAACACAGAGGCUCCAUCAGUAAAGGUUGACUCACCAACUCAGCGUUUGUUGUCAUUAGUGUAUACUGUCACUCCCACUACACACAUGUGCAACACAGAGGCUCCAUCAGUAAAGGUUGACUCACCAACUCAGCGUUUGUUGUCAUUAGUGUAUACUGUCACUCCCACUACACACAUGGGCAACACAGAGGCUCCAUCAGUAAAGGUUGACUCACCAA